This is a long non-coding RNA of Eurytemora carolleeae, 306 nucleotides long. RefSeq lists it as uncharacterized. The transcript has 4 exons. The record is from RefSeq and is a predicted model, not a curated record. NCBI's taxonomy places the organism in Eukaryota, Metazoa, Arthropoda, Copepoda, Calanoida, Temoridae.
GAAGUGUACAGAAGAAGAAGAGAAUUUGAUCUACCAGACUGCUGCGCAUAUUUUCUAGACAAUAUUCAAAGGGUGACCAGCCAGGAUUAUUUACCGACAGAUCAAGAUAUUCUUCAAAUCAGAGUGAUGACAACUGGUGUAGUGGAAUACGCUUUCAAAACUAGUUCAAAAGAGAUUAUAAUGAUAGAUGUUGGAGGUCAAAGGUCGGAGAGGAAGAAAUGGAUUCAUUGUUUCGAGGACGUUCUUCUUCUCAUGUUCCUAUGUGCUGCAAGCGAAUACGAUCAGGUUACAGAUAUUUCAACGCUU